UAGCAACGUGCUCCGACUUCGCUUGGC
This 27-nucleotide small RNA is filed under the name Bombyx mori (domestic silkworm). Its description in RNAcentral is "ovarian small RNA-22215". The record is from RNAcentral. Lineage: Eukaryota; Metazoa; Arthropoda; Insecta; Lepidoptera; Bombycidae.